Molecule: long non-coding RNA, 439 nt
Filed under: Hordeum vulgare
Lineage: Eukaryota; Viridiplantae; Streptophyta; Magnoliopsida; Poales; Poaceae
Description: long non-coding RNA (HVUL_LNC015251)
Source: RNAcentral
GUAGCACCACCAGGGAAAGGUGUCCUUAAAUAGAAUCCCAUAUAUAAGCUAUAAGCAUAAAUCAAUCACGUAUGUGUAGCACAUAAUAUUUUUAGGAAAUCAGAAUCACCUCAAUAACCAAGAAGCUGAUGCUAGAUGCAUCUUCACUCCAGAUACCAAACAACCAUCUUACAGAACACAUUGAGCUCUUCCAUUCCGCCGCCGUUGUAGCCAUCCAUGGUGAAGCGCCGACUUGUUGGAUUUGAAGAUUAAUUCAUGCUAUUCUCCACCCCAUCCAUAUGAAUCGUAAGCCACUACCACCAUCAUUAUGAGCGUAGAACACAUCUGAAGUAUCAACCUCUCCUUCCCAGUUCCUCAUCGUGCUUAUCCUCGUGUGAAUCAUGAUGACAACCCAGUCAUCACAAUCUGAAAUAAUCGUAAAACAAAAUGAUAAAUGCUA